ACAUAUAUAGAAACUUAAAGGUAAAUGAUUUCGUACCUUAAUAAAAGUCUUUACCUUGGAAAUAUUUAAACAACUCUUUGAACUUAAAACAUAUUUAGUCUGACAAGCCUCUGCUAUUGAUUAGAGAGUCACUAGGACAGGCUUAGCUGACCCGAAUAUAAAUAGAAAUCACAUAACUAAAACACUUUCAACAACGAACAGAUGAUUAAGAACUGGAUCCUCGGACUAUGAGGACUCACCAAAAGUCGAGAUAUAGGUGAUGAUACUCAUAGUCAAUCGUGCUGUUGGAAAUGAGCACCAAAACCUACAUUAUG
Molecule: long non-coding RNA, 314 nt
Filed under: Capsicum annuum
Lineage: Eukaryota; Viridiplantae; Streptophyta; Magnoliopsida; Solanales; Solanaceae
Description: long non-coding RNA (CANN_LNC001431)
Source: RNAcentral